ACAAGACUUUCAACUUAUCAACCUGCUCACCGAGAAAAACAAAAUCAACACAACUAUAAAGGAAAUCAACAUUUCCCAGUUAAUAUGAGCAAUAAUAGAAAAGGAUGAAUUUGCACUCAACUCCAAAUCAUAGAUAAAAAUAAAAAAUUUAAAAACAAAAACUCAAACAUUAAGCAAUGAAUCAUCAGCCACCACUUAAUUACGGAGUCAGAGAGACAGAGAGAGAGGAGAGAUAACAGGUGCUAAAUUUGACCUGGAAGUUCUGGAAAGCAAGCUAUAGUCUGGAGCUAUGAUUAGCAAGUAUACUACCAAAUAUGAUAUGUAACAUGGAGAUGAGGUCAAUUCAACACGGAGCAAACAGUGCAAUGGCAGCAAAUAAAUAAACCAAAAUAUGGACAAGAAAAGCCUGUUUAAAGAAUCUGUUCAAUCUGAUGCAACACCAUAGAGAUACUGAAACGGCAAAUGCAUAUGAAGCUCACUGGAGACAGUUCUACAAUGAUUUUGUCAAAGACUUCUCCAUAUCAAUAGAGCAUGUCAAACACUUUGUCACACAACCACCACAGCCAUCAAUGUCACUAAAACCUUCACAAGAAUAGACCAUUAGAAACUGCACAGCAAAAAUAUGGUACCUCUCUUUUUACAGGUACUUACUAGGAAUAACAAAAUAGUUUUUCCUUUUCUGU
This 683-nucleotide unclassified non-coding RNA is filed under the name Hevea brasiliensis (rubber tree). The record is from RNAcentral. Lineage: Eukaryota; Viridiplantae; Streptophyta; Magnoliopsida; Malpighiales; Euphorbiaceae.